RNAcentral lists this ribosomal RNA (495 nucleotides) under uncultured bacterium. Its description in RNAcentral is "partial 16S ribosomal RNA". It matches the Rfam family "Bacterial small subunit ribosomal RNA", at positions 28 to 507 of the family's 1533-position model. The record is from RNAcentral.
GACGAACGCUGGCGGCGUGCCUAAUACAUGCAAGUAGAACGCUGAAGGAGGAGCUUGCUCUUCUGGAUGAGUUGCGAACAGGUGAGUAACGCGUAGGUAACCUGCCUGGUAGCGGGGGAUAACUAUUGGAAACGAUAGCUAAUACCGCAUAAGAGUAGAUGUUGCAUGACAUUUGCUUAAAAGGUGCAAUUGCAUCACUACCAGAUGGACCUGCGUUGUAUUAGCUAGUUGGUGGGGUAACGGCUCACCAAGGCGACGAUACAUAGCCGACCUGAGAGGGUGAUCGGCCACACUGGGACUGAGACACGGCCCAGACUCCUACGGGAGGCAGCAGUAGGGAAUCUUCGGCAAUGGACGGAAGUCUGACCGAGCAACGCCGCGUGAGUGAAGAAGGUUUUCGGAUCGUAAAGCUCUGUUGUAAGAGAAGAACGAGUGUGAGAGUGGAAAGUUCACACUGUGACGGUAUCUUACCAGAAAGGGACGGCUAACUACGUG